This is a long non-coding RNA of Rosa rugosa (rugosa rose), 346 nucleotides long. RefSeq lists it as uncharacterized. The transcript is spliced from 3 exons. Lineage: Eukaryota; Viridiplantae; Streptophyta; Magnoliopsida; Rosales; Rosaceae. The record is from RefSeq and is a predicted model, not a curated record.
CUGAAAAGGAGAGGGAGUUGCUCAGACAUUUCCAUGAACAAUCUUUGAGGGCAAAGCUGAAAAACGAAAAGAAAGGUAGAGGCUUUUCUCAAGUGGGUUUUUGAGUGGGAUGUUGAAGAAGGCUUAUACCAGAUCCUUCAAUUCCUUGCAGAACAGCCUUGGUCUAAAGAACAAACUGGAUGUUAGAGAACUUGCAAUUCAUUUUGGGGUGUGUUCGAAUCAUUCCUGUUGUGCAAAAGGUUUAUACCUGUAAGUUUUAAUUUCCUUUCUGCAAUGCAGUUUUCACGUUGACUGAAGUUUUAAAUCUUGAGAUUGCAAUUUGGAUUUUCAGUAGCGAGGGGGUUUA